RNAcentral lists this ribosomal RNA (233 nucleotides) under uncultured bacterium. RNAcentral describes it as "partial 16S ribosomal RNA". It matches the Rfam family "Bacterial small subunit ribosomal RNA", at positions 796 to 1041 of the family's 1533-position model. The record is from RNAcentral.
CACGCUGUAAACGAUGAACACUAAGUAUUGCCGCGAGGCAGUGCUGUAGCUAACGCAUUAAGUUUUCCGCCUGGGGAGUACGCUCGCAAGAGUGAAACUUAAAGGAAUUGACGGGGGCCCGCACAAGCAGUGGAGCAUGUGGUUUAAUUCGACGCUACGCGAAGAACCUUACCAGGACUUGACAUGGAAUUUAAAACUCUAGAGAUAGAGCCAGAACAAGUGCACACAGGUGG